AUACAGAGGGUGCAAGCGUUAAUCGGAUUUACUGGGCGUAAAGCGCGCGUAGGUGGCUAAUUAAGUCAAAUGUGAAAUCCCCGAGCUUAACUUGGGAAUUGCAUUCGAUACUGGUUAGCUAGAGUAUGGGAGAGGAUGGUAGAAUUCCAGGUGUAGCGGUGAAAUGCGUAGAGAUCUGGAGGAAUACCGAUGGCGAAGGCAGCCAUCUGGCUUAAUACUGACACUGAGGUGGGAAAGCAUGGGGAGCAAACAGGACUAGAUACCCUGGUAGUCCAUGCCGUAAACGAUGUCUACUAGCCGUUGGGGCCCUUGAGGCUUUAGUGGCGCAGCUAACGCGAUAAGUAGACCGCCUGGGGAGUACGGUCGCAAGACUAAAACUCAAAUGAAUUGACGGGG
Molecule: ribosomal RNA, 396 nt
Filed under: uncultured bacterium
Lineage: Bacteria
Description: partial 16S ribosomal RNA
Rfam family: Bacterial small subunit ribosomal RNA
Source: RNAcentral